GGGGGGGGAGCGAGCGCUCGCGGGCCCCGUGGUGGGUUCGGCUGCGCGGCGGGGCUGAGGCGGCCGCGAAGGUCCGAGCGCAGAAAGUGGACACUGGGUUCCUGAACCUCCUCACUGAAGACAGCCAGGCCUCAAGCACAGGGUAGAGUGGUGCUGCUUCUUGGAAAAAUUGAAAAAGCUCUCUGGACGACAGGGGCCCAAAGCUGAUGGCAGACAAUGUCAGCCACUAACAACAUAGCCCAGGCUCGGAAGCUGGUGGAGCAGCUCCGCAUCGAGGCCGGGAUCGAGCGCAUCAAGGUCUCCAAAGCCUCAUCUGAACUCAUGAGCUACUGUGAGCAGCACGCCCGGAAUGACCCCCUGCUCGUGGGAGUCCCUGCCUCCGAGAACCCCUUUAAGGACAAGAAGCCUUGUAUUAUCUUAUAGCUUUGUUUUCUUGCGCUCAACUCCUCCCCGACACCCAGCCUCCAGUCAGGGCGCCAUUCAGUACAGAGUCCAGCAAAACUCUUAAUUCCAAAAGAAAUGCAAAAAGUUGCCACUGCCCAGAUGGGUUAAGAUGGAUCCUCUGAUUUCAGAUGGAUUUUCAGACCCCGCAAUGCAGCCCCCUUAAGGGCCGGGCUUCUGCACCGCUUCCGAUUGGAAAUAACUGAAAUGCCCAAGUGGUGUGCUAACAGUUUUUGAAAACUGAGUUGACCUUUGGGUUGUGGCUCAGAGCCGAGCUGGGCCAGGGUAUGGGAAGGAGGUGGGUGAACUAGCCGCUGGCCUGGGCAACCCGGCCAGGUGGCAAGUCUCACACUGUUGGCCGUUUGUGAUGACUUCUGCCAGGUUGAUGAUGUGAUGCUUUUUUUUGGGGGGGGGGCUCUCAAGCAGAAAUGCAGCCUGGGGAGGCCUACGCAGUGAGUAGGGCUGCCUGGUGCUUCAGGGUGUAACAAGGUGUGAGAUUAUCUGGAAGUAGCUGUGAAGGCCGGGGAGUUCGAGAGACACUCUCAGUGCUCCCUCUGCACUAUCGCCCUACCACGUGGAGCGUCUUAUCUGCGGGAGGAAAUGAGAUGUGUCUCCCAACAUCCUUGGAAAUGUGAGGUCCUAGAGUUGACCGUUGGGGACAGGACAGAGGCUUUUUUACAAUUGCUGUUUCCUCUGUUGUGACAAGGACAGUUAAAGGAUGGGAGGCAGGAGGACAGGCCCAACGCACACCUGCCCUCACCUGCCAGCACUACCAACAGCUGCCGGGACUCCCGCCCUGAGCUCUGGGUCCAGCUGCCUGCAACCUGGGAGGAGGUCAGAAUCCCAGGCCUAGAAGGAGCAUCCUGGGCAGCCGGCAGAAGGCACUUGGGGCCAGGCCCAGAGCCCCGAGCUCCCCUCGUGCCCCUGGGUCUCAGACCUUGCAUGGCUGCACCUCGCAGCCGGCCCACACAGGGUGCAGACCAAGGCCAACUUUCUCCCUGGCAUCCAGCUCUCUCCGGCCGGUCCGGGAGCACCUGGGGCCUGGGGAGUCUGGCUUCUCUGAAGCAGCACUUGGGCGGGGAGGGUCCCCAAAGCCCCCCCACGAUGCUGCCCCCUCUCACUGCACAGGGAGCCUGCACUCUGACAGAGCAGCAGGACAAACGAAGCUCAUUCUAGAAACCCCGGGCAUGCCCAGUUGGGGGCAGGGCAUGGCGGGACUGAAGCCAAGGGGCAGAGGGGGGCAGCUGGCAGAGCGCAUCUGCCAGCGAGGACCCCCCCACCAGCUUUCUGCUGACUGGUAACUGUUUGGUCUGGGUCAGAAGCCUUAAUCCCUUGAGCCCAAGCCGGGGCCAUGCACUCCUGGCCCCCGAGAGCAGGAGGGGUCCUGAUCAGCGUCAGGAGAGCCCCAGGGCCCAGACCUCCCCUCUCUCUCCACCCCCUGCCCUGCCAGCUGUGCCAAGCCCAGCCCCACUGCGUGUCCCCACCCAAGUGACCCGAGCAGCCAGUGGGAAGCAAAGCCCAGGACCCCUGGCUGAGGGGUGGGAGGAACUUGAGUUCAGCGGCCACAUCGUCCCCUCCUGGGCCAGGGGUCCCCUAGUGGGAAUGCCAGGGGCCCAGCUGUCUUGGUAAACUGAGGCUCCUGGAAGGUUUGGACCACUGUCCUCCCCAUCCACCCACCCAAGGCCACCCCUGCCCAAGCACCACAGUCUCGGAGCCCGGGGGGGGCUGUCAGCAAGGCCCCACUCUGGGCUUCUUUCUAGCCAAGAAAAAGGGCCUCUUUCUUCCCUUCCUUUCCUCCUUGUAGAGUAAUCGUCAGUGUCCCUAAUGCAGGCUUGAAGCAUCAGUGCCCACGUGACAGUGUGUUCUGCUUGUGGUUUCCUUGUGCACGUGUCGGCAUGAAAACACGUUUUGAGGGUAUUUUGGCGGCCGUAAGUGCCCCCAUGAGGCCAGGAGUGGACCUUGGGGAAACCAGCAUGUCUCAAGCACGUCACAGGGGAGUGAAGGAAACACAAGAAGGCAGGGCUGGGUGACUUGGAGUCUCCCUCCUCCCACAGCCUCCUCUCCCCUCCCCCUUUCUCUCCCAAGGUGUCCCCCAGCCCGAGAAUUAAGUGACUGGGUUGUGACCUCUGGCCCACGGGAUGGGGACACAAACCUCUGGGCCGGGCAGAAGGUGCUCUUUCUUCCUUUGAUGUCCCGGCCACUCUGUCCAGACGUCGCUGGGCCUCCAGGCAGCUCAUCCAUCUCGAGCUGCAGGCAGGCAGGAAAAGGCCAUCGGACCCCUGAUCCCAGCAUGAGUGACCAGAGGCAGUUUCCGGGACACGGUGAGGCCACCAAAGGUCGCUCGUCCUUCAAGAGCCUAUGCGGGGUCCUCUGAAAAGAAGCCAUAUGUCAAUACCCUGCCCCUUCCUUCUCUGUCUGCAGAGACCAUUGCCAAACAUUGUCAAGACCAGUUCCAGUUCUCAGAGCAAACUGUGCUUCUAGCAGAUUCUACCCCAACUGUGUUUGGAUGUCCAGUGGUUUUUAUUUCUGAUUUUUAAAAAAAAAUUCCAGGUGUGCCAUACCCACUUUCCUGCAGUGUUUUAAUAUUGUGUGGAAUUGUUAAUACCAAGUGAAUUAAUCCACAAUAAAAAGGCUCACUGUCCCUUUC
RNAcentral lists this long non-coding RNA (3088 nucleotides) under Sus scrofa (pig). RNAcentral describes it as "lncRNA (ENSSSCG00035031936.1)". Lineage: Eukaryota; Metazoa; Chordata; Mammalia; Artiodactyla; Suidae. The record is from RNAcentral.